RNAcentral lists this ribosomal RNA (230 nucleotides) under uncultured bacterium. Its description in RNAcentral is "partial 16S ribosomal RNA". It matches the Rfam family "Bacterial small subunit ribosomal RNA", at positions 99 to 334 of the family's 1533-position model. The record is from RNAcentral.
CGGACGGGUGAGUAAUGUCUGGGAAAUGCCUGAUGGAGGGGGAUAACUACUGGAAACGGUAGCUAAUACCGCAUAACGUCGCAAGACCAAGAGGGGGACCUUCGGGCCUCUUGCCAUCGGAUGUGCCCAGAUGGGAUUAGCUAGUAGGUGGGGUAAAGGCUCACCUAGGCGACGAUCCCUAGCUGGUCUGAGAGGAUGACCAGCCACACUGGAACUGAGACACGGUCCAG